AUGAAAAACUAAUAUGUGUAUAGAAAUUUAUACAAUAAUAAAAAAAUUCAGUAAAAUGUACUAUUAGUAUUAUGUAAGUAUUUUUCAUCAUCAUCCCGACCAUUGUGUUUGUGUAUCUCUUUGCUCUAACAACGUACAAUUGUAUGUCAUGUCCAAACAUAUGAAAAAUCCAAAUUAUUUUAUACACAACUCACGAUGCAAUUAAAUAGAAUACUCCGUUUAACUGGGCGUAUAGCGAGUCACACAAAUUAAAAGUCGAUGAUAACACAAACUUUUUGAGUUUAACUAAGACGACUUUAAAGAGGCAACCUUCCGGUCGCCUUCAUAAUUCAUUGUCAAUGUUUAAGAUAAAUGUUUUGUUUACUAUGUAGCUGCCAU
This 378-nucleotide long non-coding RNA is filed under the name Brassica napus (rape). Its description in RNAcentral is "long non-coding RNA (BNAP_LNC022227)". Lineage: Eukaryota; Viridiplantae; Streptophyta; Magnoliopsida; Brassicales; Brassicaceae. The record is from RNAcentral.